RNA transcript from Myotis myotis, 12515 nucleotides. It is a transcript of the gene named EFR3 homolog A, with no coding region annotated. The transcript is spliced from 24 exons. NCBI's taxonomy places the organism in Eukaryota, Metazoa, Chordata, Mammalia, Chiroptera, Vespertilionidae. The record is from RefSeq and is a predicted model, not a curated record.
CUGUGCAGUAGGGGGAAGGACCUGGGGCAGGAAGAUCGGCUGGAAAGCCACCUCCGACAGCAUGAGAGACUACGUCCAGGUCCCUGCGGCCGACCUCGAAAAGCCUUACGAGCUGACUCCAACCAGGGAGUCCACCGCAUUCCUGUGCCUGAGAGUGUGUUGCUGCUGUUCUGCUUUGCGUCCUCGCUACAAACGCCUGGUGGACAACAUAUUCCCUGAAGACCCGAAAGAUGGCCUUGUUAAAGCUGAUAUGGAAAAAUUGACAUUUUAUGCAGUAUCUGCUCCAGAGAAACUGGAUCGAAUUGGUUCUUACCUGGCAGAAAGGUUGAGCAGGGAUGUUGUCAGACAUCGUUCUGGGUAUGUCUUAAUUGCUAUGGAGGCAUUGGACCAGCUUCUCAUGGCUUGCCAUUCUCAAAGCAUCAAGCCAUUUGUAGAAAGCUUCCUUCAUAUGGUAGCAAAGCUGCUGGAAUCAGGGGAACCAAAGCUUCAAGUUCUUGGAACAAACUCUUUUGUCAAAUUUGCAAAUAUUGAAGAAGACACGCCAUCCUAUCACAGACGUUAUGACUUCUUUGUAUCUCGCUUCAGUGCCAUGUGUCAUUCCUGCCAUAGUGAUCCAGAUGUACGAACGGAAAUUCGAAUUGCUGGAAUCAGGGGUAUUCAAGGCGUGGUUCGCAAAACAGUUAAUGAUGAACUUCGGGCUACCAUUUGGGAACCCCAGCAUAUGGAUAAAAUUGUUCCAUCCUUGCUGUUUAACAUGCAGAAGAUAGAAGAGGUCGACAGUCGCAUAGGCCCUCCUUCUUCUCCCUCUGCAGCUGACAAAGAGGAGAAUCCCGCUGUGCUGGCCGAAAACUGUCUCAGAGAGCUGCUGGGUCGAGCGACUUUUGGGAAUAUGAAUAAUGCUGUUAGACCAGUUUUUGCGCAUUUAGAUCAUCACAAACUGUGGGAUCCCAAUGAAUUUGCAGUUCACUGCUUUAAAAUUAUAAUGUAUUCCAUUCAGGCUCAGUAUUCUCACCAUGUGAUCCAGGAGAUACUAGGGCACCUUGAUGCUCGUAAAAAAGAUUCUCCACGGGUUCGAGCAGGUAUUAUUCAGGUUCUGUUAGAGGCUGUCGCCAUUGCUGCCAAAGGUUCCAUAGGACCCACGGUGCUGGAGGUCUUCAACACGCUGCUGAAGCACCUGCGUCUCAGUGUGGAAUUCGAAGCGAAUGAUGUCCACGGGGGAUCGAUGGGCAGCGUCAGCUUAAACUCGGCCUCCAAAGACAACGACGAGAAGAUUGUGCAGAACGCCAUCAUCCAAACGAUAGGGUUCUUUGGAAGUAACUUACCAGAUUAUCAGAGGUCAGAAAUCAUGAUGUUCAUUAUGGGGAAGGUACCAGUUUUUGGAACAUCCACUCAUACUUUGGACGUCAGUCAACUAGGGGACUUGGGAACCAGGCGGAUUCAGAUAAUGUUGCUGAGAUCCUUGCUUAUGGUCACCUCUGGGUACAAAGCGAAGACGAUUGUUACUGCGCUACCUGGGUCUUUUCUGGAUCCUCUGCUGUCACCAUCCCUCAUGGAGGACUAUGAAUUGAGACAGUUAGUCUUGGAAGUGAUGCAUAAUCUCAUGGAUCGCCAUGACAACAGGGCAAAGCUUCGAGGGAUCAGAAUAAUACCUGAUGUAGCUGACCUAAAGAUCAAAAGAGAAAAAAUCUGUAGACAAGACACAAGUUUCAUGAAAAAGAAUGGGCAACAACUAUAUCGGCACAUAUAUUUGGGCUGUAAAGAGGAAGACAACGUUCAGAAAAACUAUGAGUUACUCUAUACUUCUCUUGCUCUUAUGACAAUUGAAUUGGCCAAUGAAGAGGUGGUUAUUGAUCUCAUCCGCUUAGCCAUUGCUUUACAGGACAGCGCCAUCCUCAACGAGGACAACCUGCCCAUGUUCCACCGCUGCGGCAUCAUGGCGCUGGUGGCCGCCUACCUCAACUUCGUCAGCCAGAUGAUCGCCGUCCCUGCGUUUUGCCAGCAUGUUACCAAGGUUAUUGAAAUGCGGACGAUGGAAGCCCCUUAUUUUCUGCCAGAGCACGUUUUCAGAGAUAAGUGCACGCUUCCAAAAUCUUUGGAGAAACAUGACAAAAGUUUGUACUUUUUGACCAACAAGAUUGCAGAGUCACUAGGUGGAAGUGGCUAUAGUGUUGAGAGAUUGUCAGUGCCAUAUGUACCACAAGUCACAGAUGAAGAUCGACUUUCUAGAAGAAAAAGUAUCGUGGACACCGUGUCCAUUCAGGUGGAUAUUCUACCCGGCAGCCUCCCUUCUGACGACGUGGUUAGUAACACUGAAGAAAUUACCUUUGAAGCAUUAAAGAAAGCAAUUGAUACCAAUGGAAUGGAAGAGCAAGAAAAGGAGAAGAGGCGUCUGGUGAUAGAGAAAUUCCAGAAAGCACCUUUUGAAGAAAUAGCAGCACAGUGUGAAUCCAAAGCGAAUUUGCUUCAUGAUAGACUUACUCAAAUAUUGGAACUCACCAUACGGCCUUCGAGGGUUGAAAGACGUAUGAAGUGUCUCUUGUAUUUCUUAAACAUCUACACAACUGUUUAAGUAGGAUUUUUGCUUUAGUUUUGGUUAUCUGCAAAAGCAAAAACAUGCGAGAGUACGCUAGUCCUGGGCUGCUGACUGCCCUGAGGCUUUUGUCCCUGUGUUUCCGAUGUUGCGACAGGCGUCUCUUCAUUCAGUUACCGUGUAAUGCCACACUUUACCAGCGGUUAACUUCCCUCCUCAGAAUAGCCCUUCUCUUCCUUUCUGAAAAUGGAACUCGUUCGUCUUAUUCAUGGCAAUAUAUGUUGUCAAUGUAACGAAGUGAGCUUUUUGAAAUGUAAAAAUCCACUCUGCAAUUCAUAUGUGAGCAAUAAAACAAAAUCAAAAUAUUGGUGCCUAAGUACACUUUUAUAAUGGCUAUUUUUACAUUUACUAAAUACAUUUAUUCAGUAUGUUACUGUAGCUAAAAUGAGAAUUUUUAGUGAAAGUCAGGUUGUCGAGUGGAUUCCUCCUCACACCCACUGGGAGUCUCAGACCCGUGAGUGAAGGCUGGUUGUAGGGAGGUGUGGCCAAGGCGAAGGUCACCUGUGAACGGGAGGCGGGGGGCAUGGGGAAGCACAGCUGCUUCUCUGCUAAAUCUUCAGGUUCCUUUUCAGCCCCGCCUCCUUGCUGCAUAAAUUACUGGAAACCUCUGGGACCCUCCCGACCCUGCUGGCCUCGGGGACUUCCUUUAGGCUGCAGCAAAGCAGGCCUGCAGGGCCCUGGGCUGGAGCCCGCCCCUGCCACUGCCUGUCUAAGGGCUGUAGGCAAGGGACUGCCCUUGGGGCUUUGAAGUCCUCAUCUGGAACAUGGUGGGGAGUAAGUCCCACCCUCAGGGCAUGUGUAUGUUCAUUACUGUUCCUCCUCCAGUUGGCAGAGCGGCCUGAGCCCCUGGCAGCUGCCUCUGUCCUGUGGACGCAGGCCGGUCCCCCCACGCUCGGAACCUGUUCUCUAGGUGUGAGAUGAGCAGUCGGGGUGGUUUGCUAUCUCAUGUGCUUUCUUUCCAGCUUUAGCUUGUUGGAUCCUGUUACUAGUCUGUCACCUGAUAAAUUACUAACUUCAAGGACAAGUUCACAUGAAUGAAAAAGCAGGGGAAUGAGCACCAGUCGGCCUCUUCGUUUUCUGUUUGCCUUCGACUUGCACUUUGAGUCAGAGGCGGCCUGUAGGGGGCCCUGUCCUAGUCUGGGUUCUCCUACCGCAGAGCCGAAGGCAGGCUCACCGGCAGGGCUUUCUCUGGGCGUGAUCCCAGGGAACCUCUGAAAUGGAGAAAGGGCUGGUGAAGAGGAUUCUCCGAUGACUUGGCCAUCACCGGGGGAGGGCAGAUCCAGCCUCCGCGACAGCCCAAGGCGUCUCAUGAGGAGAGCUCAGGCCGGUCCACCAGGCGAUGGCAGGCAGCGUAGCGUGUAGCCUUUGGCUUCUACUCAUGGUCAAAGCCCUGUUGGCGUGAAUUGCCCCACGUUUCUGGAUUGCGUGUGCCUGAUGCGGAGCAGUUUCCAAGGGGCCCCACGCCUCAUCGGAGAAGGUAGGAGGUGUGGCCAGCAGGUAGGAGGUGUGGCGGGCCUUGUCAGACCCCACUGCCCAGUGUGGCCGGUCAGAGCCUCGGGAACUGGGUGUCACAUCAGUGUCUGGAACAAGAGGUGGGACCAGAUGGCGUGGAGCUGGCAAAAGACGUCCAGUGUGGCACCACCUUGUCUGAUACUUAAGGACAGGACUAAACGUGGAAGCACGCGGUUAUCAUUUCAAAUACCACCACCCACCCCCCCACCACCACCCCCAUCUUGCUUAAUGGGUCGAUGAAGGGAUUUUUAACCCUUUUCGGUCCAACGUCGAGGCUGACUUGACAGACCAGGCACUAGGAGCAGGUCCAACUUCGAGGCUGAGGUCGACACCGCAAACCGGUUCAACAUUCAAUCCCGUCAAUUAAUUUGGACCAGACUCUUUGAAUUCCAAAAAUAAAAUUGGACCGCAAAGGGUUAAAGAUGGGAUGCCUUUAGUCUGAUAGAGAAUAACUCUCAGCUAGGAGGUGGGCGGGUAUAGUUCCGUUCUUUACAGAAUCUGCGUGUGUCGAGCGGUGCUUCAUUCCUGGCCUUCCAGCCACUGGGAUAAACCCUCAUUUGUGAAAACAAGCCCAGGACCAAGACGGGGUGAGUGGUGAUUCUUCAUUGUGGGGGCGGGGGAGACACAUGCCCCCUCUCCUAGUAACUAGGAUGGCAGGUGUGUUUUUAGGGCACAGACCAAAAGUGCUGUCAUCUCAGCCCUUGGCGUACAUCUUUGGUGAGUUAUUGAUGACUCAUAGGUGACCUCAUAAGACUGGCUGACUACGUACACUCCCUUCUAUUCUUUUUUAAUAGAAGAAAAUUGGCUGCCAGUGAUUAGGGAAUAGACUCCCACACACACACACACACAUUGUCUCUGUCCUCUUACCUUUGCAAUCUAUUCAUGCACCAGUACCUUUUAAAAACACACAAAACCAAGGGCAGAAAAAGCACUGAUUGGUUAUUUAUUGCACCUCCGUCGUGUGCUGCAGGAAGUGGAGCCGCACCUGCGCUACCUCCUGCAGAUGGCAUUCCCAGGGGAGCUGGGAGCACCACGGUCCUCUGUCCCCAGCCUCUGCUCAGAGGAGGACCGAGAGGCGGCUCAGGCCCCAGGGCGCCUGGGAGCAGGGGUGCCUGGCAUUUUCUCCGGGGCUCUAUCUGGGGCCAGGUUGCAGCCUGGCCCCCACGGGACCAAGUGACCGCCCCAGAAACCUCCUGGUUCUCAGGUGUGCGGUGGGGGGCAGGGCCUCCGCGCUGUUCUCCUCGGAGCUGGAGCCCAGGGAGGACGCCGAAAGCCCUCCUUGCCCGCCGUCCUCGCAGGGGCGCUGGGGGCCCUGGCACUCUUGUCUGCCCGACGACUUGAGGCUCUGGUUAAAGAAGGCCGACGCCAUGCACUCAGCCGCCGUCUGCUCACAGGCACAGAGCAGCUUCUCGCACAGGCUCUGGCCCACACCUUUGAGGGCGAGAACAGAGUAGCACCCUGGGCCAUGGGACCACGGAGAUGGAGCCCCCAGGUGGCCUCCGCCCCCCUCUUGAAUCUCUGGGCGUCCAGUGCGCACUUAUGCCGCCACUGGAAAUACUCUCGUCACACCAACCCGCCAAGUCUCAGACACUGGCCUUCCCAGCAGCCCCGGUACACAUGUCAUUUCAGCAGCAGGUGGAGAAGAGGAGCAAAGUAGACACACACGAGCCUGCUUCCUGGAGCCCUCGGCCCUUCCGCCCCAUCCCAGUGUCAGGACGACACGGCAGGCUCGUCCUCCCAGCGCCUGCCACCUGCACCAGGUAUGGGACACUGAGCUCAGAGCUCACAGGGUUGGGACCAGAUCUCUGAAGCUCUGUGGGAGUUCAAGCUGCACAUGCAGUGUCCCUGGAUUCUGCGAGCCUUCAGCUGGGCACGCGAGACCUCAUGGCAUGGUUGCAUAUCACGACAAUAGUACUCUGAUCUGUCACCCAUGGGCUCUCGACCCACACUCAGCCCCCGGUCCCCUAUAGGACAGAAUCAGUGUUUCAGUCUGCGUUCCUGAUCUGGUACCUGUCUAUCUCCCGGCCUCACCUUCCCCCUCAGCAGUCUCCCCACCCCAACUCUCUCUGCUGGCCAGACACAACCAUAUGCUGACCCUGUGCUGCCAGGAGUCCCCAAAAUGCCUCGGUUUUCCUUUCCCUUUCCUUGGAACAUCCACACCAGCAUGGCCUUCGGAAACCUGAGAUCUCACCUCACUGCUCUCCUGACUUCUCCCGUCCUCACUGCCAGACUCUGCAGGCUCCACCUCCUGUUAGCAGUAUGGCAUGAGAUUAGGGGAGUCUCUGACUUGUCUCUCUUCCCUCUAGGCUCUGAGGGACUUGAGGCAGGGAUCCUGCAUGCUCACUGUUUCCUAGUUACCAGUGAAGGUUUGUUGGGUAAGUAGAAAACUGAAGGGAUGGCGCUCCGGGCAAGUGAGAGGCACACAUGAUCCUACAAGGAGGUGCAUGCAGAGGAGGGGGGGGGGGGGACUAAUGGCCCCAGAGGCUUCCCCAGGAAAAUGCAGAUGAGGAAAUGGAGCCAGAGAGUGACAGGCCAGUGCUAACCCUCGCUGUGCUGUAAGAGUGAUGCGCAGAGGGGGCGGUGGCAGUUUCCAGCCAUCCUGCCUGAGGCCCUGAGCAGCCACAGAGGAGCGGAGCUGCAGCCCACCUGGCCCCUCAGCCAGGGCCACCAUCCUACGGGGCCCCUCGGAAGAUGUCACCCGGGAAAGGCUCUGCUGCUUAGGGAAAGGGGCCCACGGGCCUGGUGAGGCCUCGGCUCGAGGUCGGAGGCCGUGGGAGCUUAGGUCCCGAUCCAGCUCAGCGCGGACUCUGCCUGUGUGGCCUGGGCGCCUCCUGGUGCUCUGGCCUGGCCGGUUGUGAGGAGGAACUCGCUCACACAGCAGGAGCUGGGAGCAGACGGCACACGGUGAGCACGCAAUGCGCCCGGCUUGUGUAGCGGCCCGGUGUGCACCUGGCCAGCCCUGUGCCCUGGGCGCGGACGUCGCCUCUGAACUGGAGUCUCCUCAGUGGACUAGGGGUCUAAUACGUGCCUCAGAGGGAAGACGUGUUGGGUCACGCGAUGGAUGAAAAAGUGCUGGGAGAGUGUCUACGCCUGAGUGGUCAUGAUGCUGAGCGGGUGAGAGGAUAACCCACCCGGAGGCCCACGCACUCACACUUGGGGGCGCCGUCUGCGCACAUCACCGGCGGCUGGGGAAGCCUCCCGCGCCGACAGCCCAGCCUCCCCACCUGUUGCAGGCAGCAGUGGUGGGACCAGCAGCACCUACGACCAAGGAGAAGCCUUUACUGCCCAGCUCCCAGCUGCCCCGGGAGCUCCUCAGGGCCUGCUUCUCCCGCACCCCUACACAGCGAGCCAGUGCCUCCCUCCGUGUGCACGGCUGGCUCCUACAUACCACGCGUGCCGGCUCAGGCUGCGCACUGCACAGGCAUCUGAAGUGAAAGUCACUCCAGUUGCCCAGAAUGUAAACCUUGUGGAGGAGCUCAUUUCAGCGCGGCAUCUCGUCACACACAUCGAGACCCACCCUCUCCAGGUGGCUGGUCUGUCAGGCUCUGCCCCUUCGUGGAUGAAUGACUUCAGAUGAGGCCGAGCCUCAGCUGCUCACCCAGAAAACGGGCCUGUGAUGUAAGGAGCCACCCGAGUGAGGUAAGGCAGGCAGCAAGCUCUUUGUGGACCUCGAGUGACGGCCCAGGUGGAGGAGGGCUCUCACUUCUCCCUGCAGGCAGCAUCGGCGCCAUCGCCUGCCACCCUCGCGCACCUACCUGUCCAGGGCGUCCCUGGGUUCGCCUCGCCCUUCUUGCCCACAGUAGCAGCCGUAAAAUUCAAACUCCUCGGGGCACCGGGCUGUCAGGCAGAAGAGCAUCUGCCCCAGCUGCGGCAUCACCUGUGUGUCCUCCCCGGCUCCCAGGCGCAGGAAGGUGGACCUGUCACAGGCUGGGGAGAGAGGAGGACUCAGGUAGCCAGGAGUGCCAGCACGGCGUUCCCAGGAGGGCUCCACGUGGCCACAGUGCGCCCCCUCCCCACUCCUGGAGACUGUCCUGUGCCCAGGCCCUGUCUGGGAUGGUCGUCUUUCAGGGAGAAGUCUUCCUCACCGGGCUCUGCUCGCCCAGGCUCCUCGAUACCUCCCUUGCCCCUCGGCAUGGGGACUCGUCAGGGCCGAAGAUGCUCUUAGGGCCGAAUUUACUACUGAGCAGGACCCAGCAUCCCGGGGGCUCCUGGCUGUCCCCUGAGGCUGCCUGGCUUCGCAGGUCAGCACACCUAUGGGACUUGUCUUCCAGACCUUGGUUCUCUGUCUCUAUUUCUGCUUUUCUCUCUCCACCCAUCCUACUCCCCCUCCUCCUGUACUGGGCAAAACCCCACCUUCAUAGUCUGGGUGGGAAGGACUAAGAAGGCCCAUGCCCCCCUCCCCACACACAGCUGCUUGCACAGCCCUGCAUGGCGCACUGGAGGGCAGUGCCAGUGCCUCCUCUGGGUCCCGCUGCCUGGUGCCCUUGCGGGUGCAGGGCCUGCGGAGGACUAUUGAGACCCAAGUGUUUUGUUCUUCCCAGGAACCUGGCAUGGACGGUGCUGGUGAGCGCUGGCCCAAGGCCUGCCGUUUCUGGGCCCUGCCCCCAGCCCUGGUGCCUGCCGGCCAGUGCCCCUCUCCCAGUCUCGUCUGCCAGGGGACGUGCGGCACCUCCCGUCACAGCCACGUGCCAAGGUCAGUGCGACACAGUGGCCUUGUUAACCGCCUGACCAGAGGCUCUCAGGCCGGGAGGGCAGGCUCCUGUCUGCCUGCUGCUCACCUUGCCCAGUCGUCUCCUCGGGACCGCUUUCGCCGGAUGGCACGGCCAGCCCCAGAGAGUUGAUGCCGGCGGGGACCACCGUCACGCCUCCGGCUGUGGCAGCAAUCUCUGCGGAUCCUGAAAAUGCACAACUUCACAGUCCUCAUCCAAGAGGGCCCAAGAAGGGAUUUGCAGAUGGGCACCAGGUCAAGGCCAAAGGCAGACAGAUGUUUGGGAACAAAGCACCAGACUGAGCUUGCAGACGUCAGAGCUGCGUCUCGGGGGUCCGGAAUGCUGCGUGGGUCCCUGGUUUCCUAUGAUAACUGUGAAACUGACGGGCCUGGCUAGACCCUCUGGAUGACAUCUGGUGGGUGAGAACCGUCCCCCUCAGGCCUACCUUUGUGUCGUGUCCACACUCAUGCGCCGGCCAAGUGAAGUCCCAUCACAGUGUCAACAAGUGCAGGGACAAGAAUGGUGGGGAAGUUAGCCCGACGCAUGGGCCACAAUCAUGCAGGCAAGCAACACUGUUCCGACCCUUAGAACACGGCAACAGCUUCUGGCCAUAUUUGGAAUUAAGUGUGAGUCUGCACCACGGCCAGCAAGGUCCUGCUCCCUCACACGGGCACCCCCCUCACACGGGCUCCCUGGCACCGUCUGGGUCCCCUGACUCAGGGUCAGUCAGCCCCACCUGCCCUCUCAGCUGGAGGCAGUCGGGUCUCCAUCCCACAGGCCACGCCUCCAGCCCAGUCUGGUCCAGACCAAGGAGCACCAGUGGCUGGGCCCCACCGUCUGCUGCCCAGCCCAGUGCCCGGCCCUGGGGGAGGCCUGGGCAUCGUCGUGGAUACACUUGGGGAGACUGGGAGAAAGUACCUUCAGAUAUUUAAAGUGCUCCCUUUACAAUGUGAGGUUGCAGCUGAUGUAAAUGGAAAACGAGAUAGAGCUUUCUCUGUUUUUUGCAAGGCAUCUCCUUAGCGGGCAAGUUUCCAUUUCUUUCUAUGAAUGGAUCAGUCUUAGUUUCAUUUGUCUACUCCGCAGGGCUCUACCAGUAAGCUGGCUCCCUGACCGCUUCCACGUUAAAUUUGGGUCUUUUCUCCCGGGCUCUUCGGGACACACCUGAGCUAAUGAGUGUGGAGGGACAGCAACUAGCCAAAGGCGGGAGCAGCUGAGCGUGCUUACCUGGAGGGGCUGUGGUCCUCGCGGCUUCAGUGCCUUCCAGGUCUUGGAGUGGUUCUGCUCCCAAAAGAGAGACAGGUAAGUGUCGACCCCAGCCUGCCCCACCUGCUCCGAGGCAGCUCCCACCCACCAGGCCCCGGGGCCAUGUGGUCUUUGCUCUGCCCCUGGCCACCUCCCGGGACAACAGCUGAGCCAAAAAGAGACCCCAGCUUCACCACCCCUUCCCCUCACACAGAGGCUUGCUGGGAAACUCAACUGCAGGUGAGUCUGUUGAAAUCUCUUUUUUUAACAGAGAAAAAUGUGGAAGAAUUGAGUCCCUUUGCUUGCUGUGUGGCCCCAGGAAGGCUGCUGAGCCUGUUUCUCUGCAAAAUGAGUUUGUUGCUUUAACAGUAGUUAAGCUCGCACUGCGUUGCAGACCGAGUGAUCGAGUUCCCCCAGGUUCCAUGUUGGCACCCCAGCCCCCAAUGUGGUGUCAGCAGGUCAUGAGGGUGGGGUCCUCGCGAAUAGGAUGAGAGCCCUGUAAAGAGACCCCAGCGAGCUCCCGCUCCCUUCCACCUGGGAGGGCACAGCAGGAAGACGGCUGGUAUCUGUCAGAAGCAGCCCUCACCAGACACCAGAUCUGCUGGUGCCUCCACCUCGGACUUGCAGCCUCCAGAACUAUGAGAAAUACGUUUCUAUUGUUUCUAAGCCACCAGUCUCUGGCAUUUUGUUCCAGCAGCUGAACGGGCUAGGCUUACUAUACACCAGGUACAGCACUAAGCGCUAUGCUCAGAUUAACUUCAUAACAACCCCAUGAGUUAGUGCAAUGCCCUCCCUCCUUCAGUGAUGAGAAAGGUGACCUGCAGAAGAGUGAGGUCACUUGCUCAAGGUCAUAGGGCUAGAAAGUGGCAGACUGCAAACCCAGGUCACCUGCUAGCAUUGACCCUGGGAGCCACUUCACUAGGCUACAGUUUCACUGCUGGCUGAACCACAAAGACCAGAGAUGGUCACUCCUUCCAGAAUGCUCUGGAAAGGAAGGAACUGCCUGGAACUGUCCGAGAUCAGGAUUAUGCUGGUGUGAUGUGACCGUCAGGCUUAGACGUGCACUGAUGGGACGCAGAUGCUCCAGCCAAGGGUCUGAGGCGUCUGAGCUGGGGCAAAGUGCACGGAUUCAGAGGUAAAGGGAUCCACGCUGUGCCCCAGGCAGACGACUCUACCACUUGGAGCUUUUCCUUUACCUGUAAAAUGGGGGUGAAAAUGGGCCUCCCAGAACCAGGGAGAAUAACUCAGAGAAUGUUGUAUGCAGGGGCGUAGACACAUGCUACCACAUCUGCCCUUUAACCAUUCUCAGUAACAAGUAGAUAGUCAUUACCAGUGAUUUUUCUUAGUAAUAAAGAAUCCAUGGUUAUUAAUCACAAGCCAAGUAAAGGGUUAGGACAGCUUUCUCCAUCUUAGUAUUUCUUGGCUUAGUAUUUUAGGUAAGGGGCUGUUCUCCGCGAGUCACUGUCAGGUAAUGGGAAGAAAAGUCUUAGCCUCACAUCGGGGGUUAGAAACCAGAACAAAUCACUUGCUGGAUGACUUGGAACUUUAACCCCCAGAGCCUCAGUUUCCUGAUUUAUUUGCAAAGGGUUAAUUUCCUCUGGGCUCUAAACACGAGUAUUUAUUUAGGUGGCGUUUCUCCGGGAUUCUGUGCUGUCCUCUGAAGGUCCCUCUACUUACCUGUCCUGGAACGAGUGGUCAGCUGACUCGUCUUGGGGGGCGUGGCCAGCUGGUCAGCUCUGGUGUCAGCAGACACUGUGAAGAGAAAUCAACCGAUUGUCAGUCAGUGAUCAGUUACCAGUCCAGCUCAGCACCUUGGCCAGGCCAGGAUCACCUGCAAACAAAACGGGUUUGGGAGCUGAGUGAUAAGGAGAGAAGGCCCACAGCCAUCUGAUCAGGGAGUAAGUUGUCCACUCAUUGGUGCUCAAUUCUGUUCCCAUUCAGUGGGUGAGGGGCCAGAUUGGAGGCAGUCCUGUGUUCAGAGAAUCCAGCAAAUGGGAGAAAGAGCCAGCAUUGGGCCUGAUGGACCAAGUCCUUGUGGGAAGGCAGCCUGAGAGGGAGUUGCUUCCUGGAGUAAAGGGAAGACCCGCUGGAGGCCUCGAAUCCCAGCCCCACCCCUCGGCUCUGUCCUGGACAGCCUCCUUCUCCAGUUCAAUGUACCAGCUCAACAUGAAGGUUAUAGCAGUUACUUCCUAACGUUGUGUGAGCAUUAAGGGUUAUACAUUCUGAGCAAGCUGUCUAGUGUCCUGCAUGUGCCUUGAUGGUAUGUGCUGAUUUUUAAAGUUCCACUGGAAUUUCUGGAAGAAGAUGCCAGCCCAGAAUCUUCCCACGCUCUCCAUCAUGUAAUCCUCUGCCACCCUGAAGUCAGGUGUAAUCAUCCCUUUCCAGGGGAUGGCAAACUAGGGGCUGGCCCUUAACCUGUUUGUAUAAAUAAAGUUUUAUUGGCACACAGCCACAGCCAUGCA